This 293-nucleotide ribosomal RNA is filed under the name uncultured bacterium. RNAcentral's name for it is "partial 16S ribosomal RNA". It matches the Rfam family "Archaeal small subunit ribosomal RNA", at positions 455 to 747 of the family's 1478-position model. The record is from RNAcentral.
GUGCCAGCCGCCGCGGUAAUACCGGCAGCCCGAGUGAUGGCCGAUCUUAUUGGGCCUAAAGCGUCCGUAGCUGGCCGCGCAAGUCCAUCGGAAAAUCCACCCGCCCAACGGGUGGGCGUCCGGUGGAAACUGCGUGGCUUGGGGCCGGAGGACCCGAGGGGUACGUCCGGGGUAGGAGUGAAAUCCUGUAAUCCUGGACGGACCGCCGGUGGCGAAAGCGCCUCGGGAAGACGGACCCGACAGUGAGGGACGAAAGCUGGGAUCUCGAACCGGGUUAGAAACCCCUGUAGUCC